UGGGGAAUAUUGCACAAUGGAGGGAACUCUGAUGCAGCGACGCCGCGUGAACGAAGAAGGCUUUCGCGUCGUAAAGUUCUCUUAUAUGGGAAGAUAAUGACGGUACCAUAAGAAGAAGCCCCGGCUAACUACGUGCCAGCAGCCGCGGUAAUACGUAGGGGGCUAGCGUUGUCCGGAAUCACUGGGCGUAAAGGGUUCGCAGGCGGAAAUGCAAGUCAGGUGUAAAAGGCAGUAGCUUAACUACUGUAAGCAUUUGAAACUGCAUAUCUUGAGAAGAGUAGAGGUAAGUGGAAUUUUUAGUGUAGCGGUGAAAUGCGUAGAUAUUAAAAAGAAUACCGGUGGCGAAGGCGACUUACUGGGCUCAUUCUGACGCUGAGGAACGAAAGCGUGGGUAGCAAACAGG
This 403-nucleotide ribosomal RNA is filed under the name bacterium. RNAcentral describes it as "partial 16S ribosomal RNA". It matches the Rfam family "Bacterial small subunit ribosomal RNA", at positions 355 to 776 of the family's 1533-position model. The record is from RNAcentral.